Molecule: ribosomal RNA, 497 nt
Filed under: uncultured bacterium
Lineage: Bacteria
Description: partial 16S ribosomal RNA
Rfam family: Bacterial small subunit ribosomal RNA
Source: RNAcentral
GGUGAACGCUGGCGGCGUGCCUAAUACAUGCAAGUCGAGCGAACAGACGAGGAGCUUGCUCCUCUGACGUUAGCGGCGGACGGGUGAGUAACACGUGAAUAGCCUACCUAUAAGACUGGGAUAACUUCGGGAAACCGGAGCUAAUACCGGAUAAUAUAUUGAACCGCAUGGUUCAAUAGUGAAAGACGGUUUUGCUGUCACUUAUAGAUGGAUCCGCGCCGCAUUAGCUAGUUGGUAAGGUAACGGCUUACCAAGGCAACGAUGCGUAGCCGACCUGAGAGGGUGAUCGGCCACACUGGAACUGAGACACGGUCCAGACUCCUACGGGAGGCAGCAGUAGGGAAUCUUCCGCGAUGGGCGAAAGCCUGACGGAGCAACGCCGCGUGAGUGAUGAAGGUCUUCGGAUCGUAAAACUCUGUUAUUAGGGAAGAACAAAUGUGUAAGUAACUAUGCACGUCUUGACGGUACCUAAUCAGAAAGCCACGGCUAACUACGUG